RNAcentral lists this ribosomal RNA (286 nucleotides) under uncultured Spirotrichea. RNAcentral's name for it is "partial small subunit ribosomal RNA". It matches the Rfam family "Eukaryotic small subunit ribosomal RNA", at positions 174 to 469 of the family's 1831-position model. The record is from RNAcentral. Lineage: Eukaryota; Ciliophora; Spirotrichea.
AGCCCGACUUCUGGAGGGCUGUAUUUAUUAGAUAAAAGACCAAUAUUCCUCGCGUCUAUUGUGGUGAAUCAUAGUAACUGAUCGGAUCGCAUGGGCUUGUCCCGCGACAAACCAUUCAAGUUUCUGCCCCAUCAGCUUUCGAUGGUAGUGUAUUGGACUACCAUGGCUUUCACGGGUAACGGGGGAUUAGGGUUCGAUUCCGGAGAGGGAGCCUGAGAAACGGCUACCACAUCUAAGGAAGGCAGCAGGCGCGUAAAUUACCCAAUCCUAAUUCAGGGAGGUAGUG